Molecule: long non-coding RNA, 258 nt
Filed under: Prunus dulcis (almond)
Lineage: Eukaryota; Viridiplantae; Streptophyta; Magnoliopsida; Rosales; Rosaceae
Description: sRNA ncRNA
Source: RNAcentral
AUGUCAAAUGCAAAAUCAAGCAAUGGACACAAUUUUGUUUCACUUAUUCCUCGAUUCAACGAUGAUAAUUACGAUUAUUGGAGCAACAAUAUGAAGGUGCUGCUAAAAGCCGUGGAGUUGUGGAAUAUGGUUGAAAACGGUUAUGAGGAGCCUGAAGAUGAACAGGCGCUUACUCAAGCACAAAGAAAUGCAUUGAAGGAGAAUCGAAAGAAGGAUAGCAAGACCCUUUCCACAUCUAUCAAACAGUUGAGAUGCUAG